This 87-nucleotide transfer RNA is filed under the name Deltaproteobacteria bacterium. Its description in RNAcentral is "tRNA-Leu". It matches the Rfam family "tRNA". From Rfam's summary of the family: Transfer RNA (tRNA) molecules are approximately 80 nucleotides in length. RNAcentral also lists the same sequence under 1 other name. Lineage: Bacteria; Pseudomonadati; Myxococcota; Myxococcia. The record is from RNAcentral.
GCGAGAGUGGUGGAACUGGUAGACACACUGGACUUAGGAUCCAGCUCCGGUUACGGAAUGGGAGUUCGACUCUCCCCUCUCGCACCA